UAAGUCUCCAGGGCAGGAACCACAUCUUCAAAGUGUUUUGCACAGAACAGGGCAGCUGUGGGUCUACUUGGGGGAAGACUGGUGGUAGAGAAGUCCUCCCCCCUUCUUCCCUCCCUCCCUUCCUCUAGUUCUCCAUUUAGCAAACAUUUACGUAGCUGACUGAGUACCAGGCACAUUGCAAGGCGCUAGAGAUACAGUCUUACCCUCAUGGAGCUUUCUAGUGAAAAAAGACAGAUGACCAACAAGCAACAUUAGUGUAAUUAGUGCUGUAACAGGUCUGAAGGGUAGAAAUAGGGAAUAGGGAUGGAAACUAACUUAGGCUGGCUCCCUAGGGAAACAGGCAUUUAUGAAGAAAUCCAGAAGGGAUUCCGGAGCAGGCCAAGCUCCAUCGCAUUGCUCACCCUUAGAUAUUCAGGCCUUUUCUCCAAGAAAGAGGGACAACAAGAAAAGAAAAGCAACCUAUAGGCCUGGUAGAGCGAAUUGUGUGUGGCAGCCCGGCGGAGGGAAGGAGGCAGCCGGUUUGCAGCCCAAUGUUCACGCUCACGUGCAUACAGGACAUUCGGCUCAGGCUUCCUGGCUUCUGGUGUUCACUCUGGACUCAGUAGUUCGGCCGUCUCGUUUUCCAGAGGAGAGUUUCACCUCUCCAAGGGGCAACUGCGUCUUCUCACAGAACUUAUUAAAUGGGAAACUGGCCCAUGUUAAAGGCACAGUCACAUCUAGUGGACUCUCUCCGCUAAAAAUAGAAAAAUUGAAGAAAUAUCCUAAAAGUGACAUCUUUGAAGAAAACUGGGAACGACUGUUCAAAAUGCUGUGUGCCAAGAGUAAGGGAGGGGAGAUUUCCAUACCUGUGAAAUUCAUUUUCAGGUAAAGAGGUUCCUCCAUCUGCUCCCCCCGAGCCUGCAGGGGCCCCAGGCUUUCCUCCCUUGCCCCUCGGGCGAGUCCUCCUCCCAAACCACGCAGCCACGGACCGGUUCCUGCUGUUUACACUCCGGGUCCUCCUGGGCAAGGCUGCUCUUGGUAACCAUAGAGACCAGAAGGUGUCCUUGCACAAGUGGUAGGUGGAAAACCGAGGGCUCUGACACCACGAGGUCAUCCCCCCCCACAAGGCAUCUCGGUUUCCAUAAGCACAUUUACUUGUCCUAUCUGCUGUUUGAUUCAGAGCUUCCCAGAAGCCUGGACUAGGCGACGAUGGUGCAGGCUGAUGAUCGUGAGAGACACGGAGAGGGUGAAGUGGAUUUCACCCUUCAGGGAGGACCGAGCAGCUAGCAAGUCCCCGCUCUGUGGCGUGGAUCGCUCCCCAAGCAGAGCAUGGCACUCUAUGCCUAGGGCAGCUCUGGCGUUUCUUACAUGGUACUCUUGGUGGUUGUGCUCCCCUCAUCCCCCUACCUCUUGGCCCUAGAGGGCAGGGACCGCAAUUCGGUGCUAGGCAAAGCCUGAGGAGCAGUAAGGAGCCAGAGGCAGCCACACGACUUCUGGGGCUGCUGGCCUCUUCCCAGGUCCCAAGUGGACAUACUGGGUUUUCUGGACUGGUUCUGAAACUCAAAGCUCAAGCUACUCCAGCCAAAUCGGCUCCCUGGUGAGGGGGAGGCAGCCAGGGAGAGGGGGGAUGGGCUGUGGGGGCGUAGCAAAACUGUGACAAGCUGGGGACUGUUCCUUAUGCUAGGCUCCAACGGCGUGGGAAACUGCUGCAGAAAGAAGAGGGAGUAUGGGUGGGAGGGGGGCAAAGAAGCCCAAAGCGCCGGAGCUUGGGACGAGCCUCCAGCCGCCGUGGUAGCUCCAACUGGGCUGGACCCCCCUCCCUCUGGAAUGCAUGCAUGCUCGGAAAGCCCACUCUCCCUGGGUUUGGGAUCUGGCCAGCUUAGGGUGGGAAGAGCAGAAGGCCUGGGGCUCCUGUGGCCCGGGGUGUGGGGUGGUGAUGAUGGUGGGAGUGGGGGUGUGAAGUCACUUGACAUUCAGCUGUCGAGUAACUCUUCAUGGGAGACACGGCUUGGACGUUAGGCCGGAGCUUGUCCAUAGGCCCCGCAGAGGUGGCCGGGGCCCUCGACAAGGCUUGGCAGCAGGGGUGUCUGAGCUGAACCCAGACUCUGUAGUUUGCGUCGUCUUUGGGAAAGUUGUGUGACCUCUCUGGGACUGAGGUUUCUUGUCUGUUCUGUUGGGCAGAGUCAUGCCCCCCUAGUGUGAAGAGAAUGCAGCUGCACGGCCUGGGGAAGGGCCUGGCAGCGUGGGCGCCCCGUGUGUGGUCCAGCAGUCCUUGCUCCCGGCCUCCCCUUCUUCCCUGCCUCUAGCUCCCGCUAGUUAGAGGCCGUGCAGCUAACACGGGGCUCUCCGACCUAGUUUCUGGGCUGGGGGCUUUGUCCCCAGCUCCUGUGGUCCCUCAGAGCCUUUGGAUGCUUGUGUCCAGUCGGCGGGACUCUGACUGGGGCUCUGGAGCAGGAGGCGGGACACAGAGCCACAGACCCUUGGGAAUCCUCAAGGCUGGCACCUCCAGGCUUUGGAGAAGCAGCCUGUUUCUCCUCUCCGCAGGGUAGAAACUGGCUUAAGUCUCCAGUGCGACUCAGCCACUCAGUGCCUCCUGCUUAAAGCUUUCAUUCUUUCUGGACCCAGGGCGCUACAGGGACUGUGUUCCCCAUUACCUACAGGGAAAGGGGACAAAGACUGGCUGUGGGUCCCAUACACUUUGGCCUUGCUCUGACUAUGUAGGACCCAACCUUUCAGGAGGUAAGAGGGGAGAAGUUAAAGACCCCUUGACUCCCUGCACAAUUCUGCCAACCCCGGCCCUGCUUAUCUUCACUUGUGUGCAGACGGAGACUAGGCCACCAGGCCUGACCCGAAAUGAAUCCAGUGAUUUGGGGCUGUAGAGAAGACCUUUGUCUGGCAGGGCAAUAUGUCCCAAGAGUGUAGCUGUGAGGGGUGGAGAAAAGCCCUCCGUGAGAGGUUAAACCAGAAGGGGCUAACAGGAGAGACUUGUGCCAACAGCAGACAUAGCUCUCUAGGUGCAAUUAACAAAAGAUUCAAGCUUCCAGUACUUAUCAGAGACUCUCCCGUGAUGCUCUUCAGUAAGUUUUACACACGGUCGUUGCUGAAUGAAUGACAGCAUUAAAGGCACAGAGAAGAGAAAACACUAGGAGAAAGCACUUAUGGAGGGACCAGGCCUGUGUGCAGCCUGGGCUGCAGGGCAGGUGGGAAGCAUUCAAACAUAAGGCAACCGUGUGGUACAGGGACCAGUAUGUAUCAAACAUGGCACAGUCAGUGUCCUACUUUUUGUGGGUCAGAUGUCACCUAUCCCAGGAUGGCCUGGUUUGCCAUGUGGCAUGACACUACUAAUUCAUGUUUAGGGUAUGGCCAACUCUGACCCACGGCUUUUCUUCUAGUAUUCUUGGUACCCAGCCAGUUGAACACCAGCCUGUAUUUGUGGGGUUUGACUUUUUUUUUUUUUUGAGAGAGAGAGAGAGAGAGAGCAAGAGCACAAGGAGGGCUAGAGGGCAGGGAGAGAGGGAGAGAGAGAAUCUUAAGCAGGCUCCACACCCAGCAAGGAGCCCAAUGUGGGGCUUAACCAACUGAGCCACCCAGGUGCCCCCUUUUUUUCCUGCCUUUGUAUUCCUAUAUAUAGCAACAUUGUUCUAAGAAUGGAGGGACCCCCUUGGGGUCUUGACCCCCUACAGUGUCUUCUCCACACUGUAGUCACAGGCAACCUUUUACAGUGAGUAUCAGCUGCAUCCCUGCCCUGCUCAAACCCUCCACUCAGAGCAACAGCUGAGUCCUCAUCAAGGCCUAGAAGCCUGACGCUUCCUGACCCAAUUCCUAUCCUUUCCAUUGGUCUGGCCACUCCAGCUUCACUGGUCUCCUUGCUGUUUCCUAAGCUACAGCAAACACCUUGUCUCCUGACUCUGCCUUACUGUUCUCUGCUGUCCAGAAUAUUCUGUCCUCCCCCAGUUCCUUCAGGUCUCUGCUCACUCUUUGCCUUCUCAUCUUUUGUCUGACCUGUGGCCCAGUAGGAAACAAGCACCCCAUCCCACAUUCCCUGACCUCAGCUUGCUAUAUAUAUUUUUUCAGAGCACUUGUCAGACCCUGUCCCUUUGUGUUUCUUUGUGGAUCGCCUGUCUCCCUCCACAGGAACGUAAGCUCCUUGAAG
This 4132-nucleotide long non-coding RNA is filed under the name Ailuropoda melanoleuca (giant panda). RNAcentral describes it as "lncRNA (ENSAMEG00000027467.1)". Lineage: Eukaryota; Metazoa; Chordata; Mammalia; Carnivora; Ursidae. The record is from RNAcentral.